Molecule: long non-coding RNA, 1620 nt
Organism: Musa acuminata AAA Group (dessert banana)
Lineage: Eukaryota; Viridiplantae; Streptophyta; Magnoliopsida; Zingiberales; Musaceae
Exons: 6
Source: RefSeq, a predicted model, not a curated record
GAUUACCGCCACUGAUCUAUGCGACAAGAAGAACAGGGGCCCAACCGGAAGGAAACGCAUUCCCCGCCAAGCCAAGAAAAGAGUUCAAACGCCUUUCUUGCUCUUCGCUCCGUGACAUCGACGCGAACGGUGAGCCGAUGAAAAGGGAUAGGAGGCCAGAUGACAACGAUAGCGACGACGAAGGGGGAGCGUCGCCGGAGAAGAAGGCGAAUCUGGAGGAAACACCUACGAGAUCAUUAUCCGCAAGCUGUCGAAUAAACGGAGGGUUUCUGUGAGGAAAUGGAAGGCGGUGGCCGUGGUGUACUUCCGAGAAUUGUACUUCAAGAAGGGCAAACCGCAUCCGGGGAUGAAAGGCAUAUCACUGUCUGCAGACCAGAUGAAGUGGAAUACACUGUGAACUUGGGAAUCUUUCCUGUUGCGAAUUUUGAUUUGUGGUGUAAAUGCGAAUAUGGAACAACAUUUGAAGUAAACACUGCUGAGACGAGCUAUAAUAAUAGACUAACCCCAUUUUGUGCAAAACUUGUCCAUGAAGAGUCGUCCAAAUCUUCAUUUCGAUGAUUGACAAGUUAAACCAUGAAAUGAUCGAGGGGAAUCCAUGGACAAAUAAAGGUACCUAUUCACAUGUGAUUGUGGAAGAAAAAUCUUGUAUGGUUGACAAUUUCGAUGGAAAAUGAUUUAUCUGUUCUGUCUGUUGCAAUUAUUAGAGGCAUCUGAAAUUUCAUAUUUAGUCCAAAGAAUUUACAAGGAUGUUGAUGUCUCAUCACCAUAUCUGUGAGUCUAAUUUGUGGAAUCAGAGUGUGCUCUUGCUUAUCAUUAACGAGUACAGGUUUUGUAGCUUCCAUCAUCGUUGAGCAGUUUGAGAGGCUGACAGUUGCUGAGCAUCGAACCUCUCGUCCGCUAUCUGCUUGAUACAGGUUUACAGAUUGGAUCCACUUUCAUGAACUCACCAGAUAUAUCGUCAUCGGAGAUCUAUUUGAUUCUCAAACAAAUCCUUCUUCGGCUGUACCAGCAACAUGAGAAAAGACAACCCUUGGAUCCACGUCCUCGUGUGAUCGAGCAAUUCUAUCAGUCAUGAUUCGAGUUCUUUGAGAUGCAGGGCCAAGGAUGGGAAUCAUGGCAAAUGAUGGUGAUGUUGACGUAACAACGCUUGCUCGGACCCCCCAUCUCACACCUGCUUCUUUCUCUUGGAGCACAAUGAUUGCACUCUGCUUCCUCUGCGUUACCACGAGUCGAUGGCUUCUACCCUUCAGAUCUCGUGGCCUUCCCGGCUUGUGUUUCGAGAUUCAACUGCCAAUGCUGCUGGACUGAGCUUUCCUUGCAGUUAAGGCAGCGUUAUCAGAGCCAGUGGUCAUGGAAGAGACUGCUAAGAAGAAGAAAGAAGAAAGAAAAUGCAACAAGAAGCAGCAUCAGAGCUUCAAAGAUUUAAAAUCCAACCAGGAAUCCGAACACUGGUGUUCGAACAUAAAACAAUCAUCUCUCUCUAUCUCUCUCUCUCUCUCUCUUAUUAGUUCCUCGAUCUUUGUUCGAGAACUUGGCAUGUGAACGAGGUAAAGCCUCUCCGGCAACUGCUCGAUGUUGCUGUAUAAUCAAACACGAUUCAGAAGAACACAUAAGUAUAAA